RNAcentral lists this ribosomal RNA (406 nucleotides) under uncultured bacterium. RNAcentral describes it as "partial 16S ribosomal RNA". It matches the Rfam family "Bacterial small subunit ribosomal RNA", at positions 28 to 526 of the family's 1533-position model. The record is from RNAcentral.
GAUGAACGCUAGCUACAGGCUUAACACAUGCAAGUCGAGGGACCGGCGCACGGGUGAGUAACACGUAUCCAACCUGCCCUUUACUCGGGGAUAGCCUUUCGAAAGAAAGAUUAAUACCCGAUAUAAAGGAUGGGGAUGCGUUCCAUUAGGUUGUUGGUGAGGUAACGGCUCACCAAGCCUUCGAUGGUUAGGGGUUCUGAGAGGAAGUUACCCCACAUUGGAGAUGCGACACAGUCCAAACUCCUACGGGGGGCAGCAGUGAGGAGUAUUAGUGAAUGGGCGCUAGCCUGAACCAGCCAAGUAGCGUGAUGAGUGAAGGCUUAUGGAUCGUAAACUUCUUUUAUAUAAGAAUAUGUAUUAUAUGAAUAAGGAUCGGCUAACUCCGUGCCAGCAGCCGCGGUAAUUC